UACGUAGGGGGCAAGCGUUGUCCGGAAUUAUUGGGCGUAAAGAGCUCGUAGGCGGUUUGUCGCGUCUGCUGUGAAAACCUAAGGCUCAACCUUGGGCUUGCAGUGGGUACGGGCAGACUAGAGUGCGGUAGGGGUGACUGGAAUUCCUGGUGUAGCGGUGGAAUGCGCAGAUAUCAGGAGGAACACCGAUGGCGAAGGCAGGUCACUGGGCCGCAACUGACGCUGAGGCGCGAAAGCGUGGGGAGCAAACAGG
RNAcentral lists this ribosomal RNA (253 nucleotides) under uncultured bacterium. RNAcentral's name for it is "partial 16S ribosomal RNA". It matches the Rfam family "Bacterial small subunit ribosomal RNA", at positions 524 to 776 of the family's 1533-position model. The record is from RNAcentral.